This 226-nucleotide ribosomal RNA is filed under the name uncultured bacterium. Its description in RNAcentral is "partial 16S ribosomal RNA". It matches the Rfam family "Bacterial small subunit ribosomal RNA", at positions 99 to 334 of the family's 1533-position model. The record is from RNAcentral.
CGGACGGGUGAGUAACACGUAGGAAUCUGCCCUAAAGAGGGGGAUAACCCGAGGAAACUCGGGCUAAUACCGCAUAAUCUCUGAGGAGAAAAGCUGGGGUAACCUGGCGCUUUAGGAGGAGCCUGCGUCUGAUUAGCUAGUUGGCGGGGUAAAAGCCCACCAAGGCGACGAUCAGUAGCUGGUCUGAGAGGAUGAUCAGCCACACUGGGACUGAGACACGGCCCAG